RNA transcript from Mauremys reevesii (Reeves's turtle), 2852 nucleotides. RefSeq lists it as uncharacterized. NCBI's taxonomy places the organism in Eukaryota, Metazoa, Chordata, Testudines, Geoemydidae. The transcript is spliced from 11 exons. The record is from RefSeq and is a predicted model, not a curated record.
ACCAGGGCCGGAUUACAGCUGGCAACUAAAGAUGAAAGACUCCCAAUAUUCCAUUUCCAGCACCCUGAGUCCAUCCCAGCCCUCCUUCUCCUCAAUCACUCUUUCGUGUGCACUGGUGUGCCUGUCUGAGUUAAAAGUGCAGCUGGAAAGGUUGUUGCUUCUCUGCUUUUAGAUGCUUUUUCCCUUUUAUGCUUUAGCAAAGAAAAUAGAUUGCUUCAAAGGGACAGGAAGAAAACUGUGUAUCACCUAGGGUAAAUAUUGAGUGUGAGGUGCUGCUAAUUAGCCACACAAAGUCCAUUAGCAUUAAUGGGAUCUGUCUGUGUGGUUAAUUCCCUCUGCAGUGCUCAGGCUGAAUAUUUAGCCCUUUGUCCUUACUGAGGACAGGUGCAUUUUGUAUUCUUGUUUAUAGCAAGUCUAAUCUAGCUCUCUGUCACUGUAGUAUUUCUACAGAGAAUUUUGAAAGAGUGCUUCAGACCCAAACCAGUGUGAGAGUCUCUAUCCCACAAAGCAUCAUGCACCCAGUUUAUCUCAUGGUUACAUGGGAAAUGCAACCCUAGGGGAGGCAAUGGAAGAGAAGAUAGAUUAGUCCUUCAUAAAACUCUCUUUCUCCAUGACAUACUGCCCACUUCCCAGUCCUGGGUUCUAUCCCCUCUCCCCCUCAUGCAGCUGCAGCUGAUGACUUUCUGAGCACCUCAGGCAGUGCAAGGAGCAUAGGAAAAGUGACAAGGAAGAAAGGUUCCCUCCUGCUUAGGAGGUAACACACAGAACCCGCUUGCCAUCCAAAUGUCACAGGCCUAUGAGAGGCAGGGGACUCCCUAAUGACAGCGCUGACAAAGACACAGAUGUUGGAGAAGUGUCGGUGCUGUGUCGGAAUGGGGAACAAGCAUCGUCAAGUUCUCAACAACCCCUGUGGCGCUGGUGUUAGCAACUGCUUUUCCUGGAAGGCCUGGGAGACCGGCAGAAUUUGAGCAGGACGGUGCACUAGGAGGGAAUAGGAGAGGACAGCAUGACCGACCCUGGGUCUCCAAUUUCCUCAUGGACCUGAUGAGGUUACUGUGGCUAUAGAUGACUCUGAGACAAGCAAAUUCAUCUGUAAAAGGUUCUUUCAGAGAGAGAGUGAUUGACACACAAGCUGAACUCUGAAAGAGAGAGAAAAUAGAUCCGUGGUCUUUGACUUCAAUGCAAAAAGAUUAGGGCUCUUUGUGCUUCAGCAGAAUAAAUGGAAGAUGUCACACCGCUCCAUGCAGUGGAAAGCAAGAAGAGAUCCUCACAACCAUGAUGCAAAUCACUUACAGUUGCUCCCAACAGACUUUCCAAAGGAGGCCAGUGUCGUUAUGCCCGUUUUACAGAUGGAGAAACUGAGGCACAGAGAGGGGAAGUGAUUUGCUCAAGAUCACCCAGAGCUGGGAAUCGGACUCAGUUCUUCCGAGGCCCAGUCUUGGGCUCGAGCCACUAGACAACUAAUGGACACCAAAACAUUCUCAGCAAGCUGCCCAGGACAAGACUCAAACUUGCAGUAUAUGGGACCUGUUUGGAUUCAAGGGUCACAGCAGAUCACUUUGAGAAGCAGAGGAUGGCUGAGUUUGCAGGUGUCCAGUUGAUCUACACAUGCUCAGCGGAGAGCGGUCAUGUUAGAAUGAUGGUACCAGCGCAUGCAGCCAACUGGAAGAGAGCAAUACUGGGAUAGCAAGAGCAGAACAGUUGGAUCCUUGUGCUGGGGGUAAAGUUCGCCAAACCUGAAGACGUUCUUAGCUUGGAGCAAAAGAGCUUGGAUUAAAGAUAGAUCCUGCAGGUCCUGGGUCCACUGGAGACAAGGGGGGAAACUCGUCUAGUGAGGUGGCUGGAGGGCCGAGGUAUGAAGAAGCUCCAGAGUCCCCACAGAGCAAGACCAGCAGUAGGUGUACAGUAAACAGAAGAAAGUGGCCUGGAAAAAACUACUCCCCAGAGCAGCCAGGAGGCGGUAUCCCUAGCGUGCCAAGGCCUGAAGUUCACCAGCGAGGUCUCCAUCCAAACUGGAGGCACUGCUUUCGCUCAGAGGCCUGUCCGGACCAGGCUCUAGAUCUGCCACGCUGGCUGGCAUGUGGCUGUGAAACUGGCAGUGGAAAGUGGAAGUCACGGAGGAAAGGCCAGAACUGUACCGACGUCGGGAUCCCGGCUGUGGGUCGACUCUGGAUGCCACAAUCUGCGCUGGAGUCAUGCCGAAGGCACACGCAACAGAUGGUGCUAUGAAGUGGAUCAGAAGGCACGGAGCAGCAGUCAUUAAUCUUCAUUCCCGCAAACUAGUCCGGACCCAGGAGUAUGUAAGGAGCCGGGGCCAGGGAGCAGAGCUGGCUUCCCAGCAGCUACUGAGCAUGUGGCCAAGUCCAAAGAUUCCACGUGAGAGAAAAAGAGGAAAGAGCGAGCGGUUUUAUAACGGCAAUGCGAUUCACAUUCCUACAUAUGGCGAUGAUGGCUGGCACCAAAGAUACUCCUGUGAGCAGGAGCUGGCUCUGCCUGAUAGCAGGUGUUUCUGGCUUCUCCAGAGCAUCAGCUUGCAACCAACCCCUUUGAGUAGCUCAGGUGAACUUACUAUCUCUUCCCCCAGUCCAAGGAACCAAAAAUGGGGGCUUGUCUGCCCAAUUGUGGCUGGGCCUCUAGGGGUCUCAUCCAACCCACAGAGAAACUGAUAGGAUCCUUGUCUUGGCUGUCAUGUGCGCUGGAUUAGGUCCCUACAGCGUAACAAGAAGGUUAUUGUGCAUCAAAAAUUAGCUGUACAGGAUAAACCAGCAAACAUGGGAGAAGGACAUCCCCACUUCCACCAGUUCUCACCGCUUUGAAAACAGCCCAGGCCACUGGGGCAAAGUGAAAAACAG